UACGGAGGGGGCUAGCGUUGUUCGGAAUUACUGGGCGUAAAGCGCACGUAGGCGGCUUUGUAAGUUAGAGGUGAAAGCCCGGGGCUCAACUCCGGAAUUGCCUUUAAGACUGCAUCGCUAGAAUUGUGGAGAGGUAAGUGGAAUUCCGAGUGUAGAGGUGAAAUUCGUAGAUAUUCGGAAGAACACCAGUGGCAAAGGCGACUUACUGGACACAUAUUGACGCUGAGGUGCGAAAGCGUGGGGAGCAAACAGG
This 253-nucleotide ribosomal RNA is filed under the name uncultured bacterium. Its description in RNAcentral is "partial 16S ribosomal RNA". It matches the Rfam family "Bacterial small subunit ribosomal RNA", at positions 524 to 776 of the family's 1533-position model. The record is from RNAcentral.